GCAGUAUUUUGACUGUGCAAAGGUAGCAUAAUCAUUAGUCUUUUAAUUGAGGGCUGGUAUGAAUGGUUGGACGAGGUAAAAACUGUUUUAUAAUAAUUUUUAUUGAAUUUAGAUUUUAAGUAAAAAGACUUAAAUGUUAUUAAAGGACGAGAAGACCCUAUAGAGUUUAAUAAUCAUAAGUUUUAAUUAAGUUAUAAAUAGAUUUUUAAUUAUAUGUAAAGUUUAUUUGGUUGGGGUGAUUAGAAGAUAUGAAGAACUCUUCUUUAAAUUAAAUAAUAUUAGUAGAUAAUUGAUCCAUUAAUAGUGAUUGUAAGAUUAAAUUACCUUAGGGAUA
RNAcentral lists this ribosomal RNA (334 nucleotides) under Tarachodes sp. MN134. RNAcentral's name for it is "partial 16S ribosomal RNA". Lineage: Eukaryota; Metazoa; Arthropoda; Insecta; Mantodea; Eremiaphilidae. The record is from RNAcentral.